RNAcentral lists this long non-coding RNA (1397 nucleotides) under Homo sapiens (human). Its description in RNAcentral is "HSALNT0280006". Lineage: Eukaryota; Metazoa; Chordata; Mammalia; Primates; Hominidae. The record is from RNAcentral.
CCUGCAUGUGACAGAUCAGCUGGCACCUCCCAGAUCAGUAAACUGGGUCAUCUGAUCCUGUGCCCCUGACCCAGUAACUGACUCAGUACAAGAGGACGGCUUCAACUCCCUAUGAUGUCAUCCCUCACCAAUUAGAGCUCCUGGCUCACUGGCUUCACCCCACCCACCAAGUUCUCCUUAAAGACUCUGCUCCUGGAGUAAUAAUAAAACUCUGAUCUCCUGCACAGCUGGCUCUGUGUGAAUUUCUCUUUCUCUAUUGCAGUUCCCAUCUUGAGAGAUCGACUUUGUCUGGGUAGCAGGCAAGGUGAACCUAUUGGGAGAUUACAAAUUUGGGUGCUCAUCUGAGAUUGCCCUUAUGGCUACUUCUGCCCAUGGUUUGAUACCAGCCUUGGUAAGGUUUCCCUUUUAAUGAAAAGAAGCCCCCAAAUAAUUUCUUUUCUAACAGAGAGCAGCCUGUAAAAUUGAGCUGCAGACAUAGAUAACCAAGCUGGAAGCUUACACGGGUGAAUGCCGGCAGCUGUGCUAAUAGGAAAAGGCUACCUGGAAGCUAGGCAUGUCCAACAUGGUGGCUCCAUCUUCCCCUUUCCUUGCCAACCACAUGUGCAGUAGGGAGCAGACAACAUGGCACUCACUAGCCCACUAGAAAACCCAUUUGCAUAAUAAAAAGAUUAGCAUGGGGCAGCCAGGUUCUUUGCGUGCUAUAUAAACAUCACACCUGGUCCAACCAAUCUUUGAGUCCUAUGUAAGUUAGACACCGCCUCCUCAAGUCAGUCGUAAAACCCCAUGCACUUCACCACAAAAUCGAAGACCCACUUGGGUAGCACCCCUCUCUCUCUGCAGGAAAGAGAGUUAUUCUGUUUUUCUUUCGCCUAUUAAACCUCCACUCUUAAACUUACUCCUCGGGUUGUCCAUGUCCUUUAUUUCCCUGGCAUGAGGCAAUGAACCUCUGGUAUUACCCAGUGAAGGAUGCCAUUUCAGUAUCACAGAGAAGUUUAUCCCUUCAAUGGAAACUGUGUUAUGUGGACUAUUAGCAAUAAUAAAUGGGUUACUACCUGGUGAAAAAAUAUGUUAUUUUAUAAUAUCAGACUGCCAGUUUUUUUCUGUCUUUGCUCCAUCUUGACCUUAAGAUGUUCAUCAACUCAUUUUUUUCAAGCAAAGUACAUGACUGAUGGAACUGCCAUAAUAAUAAUAUUUCACUGAAAUCUGGCAUUACAAAAUUUAAGUGGGUAUUUGGAGGUCCAUGCAUUGAUUACAGUUUUUAAAUUUGAAAUAAAUAACCAGCAUCCUUUCUUCCUGUGUCCAUGUGUUCUCAUUGUUCAGUUCCCAUCUAUGAGUGAGAAUAUGCGGUGUUUGGUUCUUUGUUCUUGCGAUAGUUUACUCUCCAGUGGCGCAAUCGG